Pelobates cultripes (western spadefoot toad) is the source of this 204-nucleotide non-coding RNA. NCBI's taxonomy places the organism in Eukaryota, Metazoa, Chordata, Amphibia, Anura, Pelobatidae. The record is from the annotation of a GenBank genome assembly.
CAUAAAUCCUUUAUAGCUGUUUAAUGAUUUAAUACAUGACUAGGCUACAUUAGAAAAAUCUUUUUUUAUUCACUUUGCAAGAAGUUUUCUGUAUGUCACAUUUUCAUUUUGUACUAGUAAGUAGUUCUUACCAAAUUUAGUUCAAAGGGGAACUGUCUCUUAUCUGUAUUAUUAUUAUAUUUAACAAAUAUGCGUAUGUGAGGU